This is a non-coding RNA of Petromyzon marinus (sea lamprey), 392 nucleotides long. NCBI's taxonomy places the organism in Eukaryota, Metazoa, Chordata, Hyperoartia, Petromyzontiformes, Petromyzontidae. The record is from RefSeq and is a predicted model, not a curated record.
GUGGGCACCGCCCAUCGCCCAUCAACCCCCGACCGCACUGGGCGCGGCGUCUCCCUGGAGGUGAACGUGGAUCUUCGGCGGGGGGCAAGACGAGGAUUCUUUGCUGGCCGAGCGAGAGGUGUUGCAGACCACUUGUUUGGUGAUGAACCAUAAGCUCCAAGCACCCAUUGGAGCAGCCCUACAGAGACAGAGCGGUUGCUGGAAACUCCCCGAUGGCUUCACCGCAAAGUGGUACCAUACUUUAUCGACCCCCCGGAGAGGUGUCACACCAGAGACCAACAGCGUCCAGUGGGGGACCACUGCCCUUGCCGGAAGGCGUCAGGUUGUAUUAAUGUUUACCCAAAAAAAAAAAUUAGCUUUUUUAUUUACAGAGCGCUUUUCCCACGCUCAAA